UUAUCAGUAACCUGAGGUCUUUCCUGUGGACGCAGGUCCAGCAGUCUCACCAGCAGGGUGGUUCAGGUCCGUCGUUUGGUCACCUCCACUCCCUGUCGUUGCGCUGGCCCUGGGGAGACACCUGGGGACGUUCUGAGAAGUGGUAGACCGAGGAACAUCUUCUAUCAACAACUUGCUCAGCUACAUCAUCUUCAGUAUCCUGCCCACCAUCGCUGAUAUAGUCAUCGCCAUCCUCUACUUUGUGUCCUACUUCAAUGCCUUGUUCGGCCUCAUCGUCUUCAUCUGCUUGCUGAUCUACCUCACUUUCACCAUCCUGAUUACUGAGUGGAGGACCAAGUACAGACGAGACAUGAACACUCAGGACAACAACGCCAAGUCUAAGGCUGUGGAUUCACUGCUCAACUUUGAGACGGUGAAAUAUUACAAUGCCGAGGGGUAUGAAGUGACCUGCUUCGAGGAGGCAAUUCUGAAGUACCAGCAGUCAGAGUGGAAGACCAACGCGUCAUUGGCCCUACUGAACCAGACCCAGAACCUGAUCAUUGGCUCAGGGCUAUUAGCAGGAUCUCUGCU
Molecule: non-coding RNA, 570 nt
Organism: Salvelinus sp. IW2-2015
Lineage: Eukaryota; Metazoa; Chordata; Actinopteri; Salmoniformes; Salmonidae
Source: RefSeq, a predicted model, not a curated record